GGAAGGAUCAUUAACACGUACUUACGUAUCAACACCUGUGAACUGUUUGGAUGUCCUGUAUUGAAUAGAGCGUCUCAGAGAUGAUAAUGAUAGUGAGAAGCGCUUUGAUCAUUUCGCAUGAUUGGCGAGUCUCUGUCUCUGUUGUCCAUUUCAUCCUCUUCGGAGGUUGGAACUGUUCUUACUUGGCAUUUUUUUUUUUUUUAUUUCUUUAUCUCAAUUGUUUAACACCUCUUACUUAUUUGACUAAUUAAAUGACUGGUCGAAAGGCCUUUCAUUAUUUACGGAAACGUAUUUUACAACUCUUAGCAAUGGAUAUCUUGGCUCUCGUAACGAUGAAGAACGCAGCGAAAUGCGAUACGUAAUGCGAAUUGCAGAAUUCAGUGAAUCAUCGAAUCUUUGAACGCAAAUUGCGGUCCUGGGAUAUUCCUGAGACCAUGCCUCGUCGAGUAUCGGUUUUAACUAACCUCCACAGCGUGCUGAUUUAUCAACACAACGUGGGAUAUUGAGCGUGUCGGUGCUUAACUGACUCGCUUUAAAUGCAUAGAACUAUGUCCACAGCGAGUACGCUUGUUCAGUAGACAUUGAUAUUUUGCUUCGGCAAUAAAUCAUAUGUCGCUUACCUGGCAAGUUUGAACUCUCUUGUUGGCUGUAUGUUCUCCAAUGAGAAUCUACUUUCUUGACGUUUUAGAUUGAAACCGCAAGGUGUCUCUUUAACAACGAGAAUUUCUAAACAAGAUCUCGACUGAAGCAAGAAUACCCCCUGAAUUUAAGCAUAUUAUUAAGGGGAGGAAAAGAAACUAACAAGGAUUCCCCUAGUAACGGCGAGUGAAGCGGGAAAAGCUCAAUUUGAAAAUCGGUGUGCUUAGCGGCACUUCGAGUUGUAGUCUAGAGACUUAUUGUCAGUGGUGACCCGGGUAAAAGUCUGUUGAAAAACAGCAUCAUAGAGGGUGAGAAUCCCGUCUUUGACCCGGUGCUCGCCGCGUACGACAUGAGUUCAAAGAGUCGAGUUGCUUGGGAGUGCAGCUCUAAUUGGGUGGUAAGUUUCAUCUAAAGCUAAAUAUUUACGAGAGACCGAUAGCGAACAAGUACCGUGAGGGAAAGAUGAAAAGAACUUUGAAAAGAGAGUUUAAAAAGUGCUUGAAAUUGCUAAGAGGGAAGCGAUGGAUACCAGUAGUGUUGGGUGUUAUAUUUACUUUUGGCUGCAUGUGUGAGUUACUUCAGGCAUACGUAAGUUGUUUGUUGUGAAUAACAUGUGUAGUUGGGAGGUCCUGUAGCAUUCAGCUAGUCAGCAUCAGUUCAUUUCGGCGGAGAAAGUGUAGAUUUCGAGAUUGACUUUCGGGUCAUGAAGGGUUUACAUCCUACGUUGAGACGGACUGAGGUUCAAAAGUGCGCGCCACUAGGCUGGGUCCUUGCUGUCUGCUGAGUUUACUGAUAUUUACAUCAAAGAUGUAACGUUGGGACUGCUUAGUACUGCAGUAAUGGAAUCACAUGCGUACUCGAGAUGCUGACGAAAUGGUCUUCAUCGACCCGUCUUGAAACACGGACCAAGGAGUCUAACAUAUAUGCGAGUAUUUGGGUGCAAAACCCUGAUGCGUAAUGAAAGUAAAGGUAGCUCUGCUACUGAGGUAGGAAUCCGGGUUUCGACCUGGAGGCACUAUCGACCGAUCAGUCACUUGUGAAAGAUUUGAGUUUGAGCAUAUCUGUUUGGGACCCGAAAGAUGGUGAUCUAUGCCUGAACAGGGUGAAGCCAGGGGAAACUCUGGUGGAGGCUCGUAGCGAUACUGACGUGCAAAUCGUUCGUCUGAUUUGGGUAUAGGGGCGAAAGACUAAUCGAACCAUCUAGUAGCUGGUUCCCGC
This 1857-nucleotide unclassified non-coding RNA is filed under the name uncultured fungus. RNAcentral describes it as "sequence contains 18S rRNA gene, ITS1, 5.8S rRNA gene, ITS2, 28S rRNA gene". The stretch from base 734 to 1857 matches the Rfam family "Eukaryotic large subunit ribosomal RNA", at positions 1 to 961 of the family's 3401-position model. The record is from RNAcentral. Lineage: Eukaryota; Fungi.